CUACGGGUCGCAGCAGUGAGGAAUAUUGGUCAAUGGGCGAGAGCCUGAACCAGCCAUCCCGCGUGCAGGAUGACGGCCCUAUGGGUUGUAAACUGCUUUUCCAUACCAAGAAACCUGAUUACGUGUAAUUAGUUGCCGGUAGUAUGGGAAUAAGCAUCGGCUAACUCCGUGCCAGCAGCUGCGGUAAUACGGAGGAUGCAAGCGUUAUCCGGAUUCAUUGGGUUUAAAGGGUGCGCAGGUGGGCUUGUAAGUCAGUGGUGAAAUGUUGCCGCUUAACGGUAAAAUUGCCAUUGAUACUGCAAGUCUUGAAUAUAGUUGAGGUAGGCGGAAUGUGUUAUGUAGCGGUGAAAUGCAUAGAUAUGACACAGAACACCGAUUGCGAAGGCAGCUUACUAAGCUAUUAUUGACGCUGAGGCACGAAAGCGUGGGGAUCGAACAGGAUUAGAUACCCCAGUAGUC
Molecule: ribosomal RNA, 459 nt
Filed under: uncultured bacterium
Lineage: Bacteria
Description: partial 16S ribosomal RNA
Rfam family: Bacterial small subunit ribosomal RNA
Source: RNAcentral